AAAACAACAUAAAUGCUUAAGAACAAGCCAACUAAGUCGCAUAAAUAUGCUCCUAUCAUAUGUAAUAAGUGAUGAGCCCUUAUUCUAUAAAAAGACUCCUCACCCUUACAAUGAGGGGAGACCAUUUCCUAAGCCUUUCCUAUCUAGAGCAAAGCUCUCACUCUCUCCCUCACAAAUACUCUCAUAAAUAUACAAUCAGUGUGGACGUAGCCCAAACCUUAGGGUGAACCACGAUACAUCUUGUGUUAUUUACAUUUCAUGCAGAUUCACGGUCAGAUUUACGUUGUUCCAAGACCUCUAGUUUUGUGCAUCAACAUUUGGCGCCGUCUGUGGGAAUCAGUACCAAAAGCU
RNAcentral lists this long non-coding RNA (351 nucleotides) under Malus domestica (apple). RNAcentral's name for it is "long non-coding RNA (MDOM_LNC012272)". The record is from RNAcentral. Lineage: Eukaryota; Viridiplantae; Streptophyta; Magnoliopsida; Rosales; Rosaceae.